ACUCCCUCCACCCUCAACAAAAACCCCCACCUUAAAUCUUCAUCUCCUUCACCCCCACACUAUCCCUCUUCAUCAUCUUCUCUAGCAAGCACAAUUGGUAGUGAUUAUGGAUCCGAAGUUAAGCCUAACUUUGUCAAUAACCACAUAGACCCGACAAUAGUAAAAUGCAAAUCUCUACCCUCAGCUAACAAUUUCCCAGUUCCGUCAGAGAGAAAAUGACCACGUGACUAAAAGUAACAACAAAAAGAAUUGGGGAUGACGCCUAACAACCUAUUCUCGACGUCAAUGACAAUGAGGAACUCGUGCAUGUUUAACCCGGUGUCUCCGUCCUCCUCGACAACCGCCUCACUAAAUUCCCUGGCACUCCCUACAUCUCCACCAAUUACAUAAUUAUAGCGUAUUUUUCCUUUCCCUUCAUAUGUGUUUAUGGGGUUAUUUUCUUAAUUGGAUUUUUAAUUAGUGUAUUUUCUAUUAAGGCAAGUUGUGUAAUUGAGUGAACGGACACGACGAAAGUUUAUGCAAUAAAUUUCUUAUCGAUGUCACUUCACACAGUGUCGAGAGACC
RNAcentral lists this long non-coding RNA (564 nucleotides) under Olea europaea subsp. europaea. Lineage: Eukaryota; Viridiplantae; Streptophyta; Magnoliopsida; Lamiales; Oleaceae. The record is from RNAcentral.